CUGUGCCAGCCUCUCCAUUUCCUGGGCUCCACCGAUCCGGCUGCCCUGGAUCUGCUGGUCAAUGUGCCGGGCGAACUGCUCACUCACCUGAGCAAUGGCAGAGCAUAGGAAAGCCGUGAAUGAGUGAGCAGAGAAGGCCUGCUCCUGCCCACCUGCUUCUCCACCACGGCCCGCCAACAGCGUGUCAGGUUUCUCAUGAUGCUGCUUGGAAGGCCCCGGGUAGCCAAGGAGCUCCAGUCGUGGCUUCUGUUUCUGCCUUCUGUGGAGACCAGGAAAGUGGCAGAGGCAAGGAGGGGGCAGCCCCUCCACUCCCAAGUCCCCAUCCAAGGGGGUUCCCUGAGGCCUUUCCUGACAUGCUGCCACCCAAAAUGAUGUUCAUGGAUGGAGGUGACACAAACCUGGAAGAUGAACAGGCUGAGUCCAUAGGGAGGGGAAGGAUGGGGAUGGACAGAAGCCUGUGGUGUACACGUGGGGCCCAGGAAAAUGCUCCUGACUAGAGCUCCCCACCUGAAUCUCCACUACUCACUGGGCCGAGGAGUGGCUGCCACAGGAGGGGGUGCCUCGCAGGGCUCGACAUGCACCAGCAGGUGAGUGAGACGGCGCACCCGCGAGAAGAAAGCUGGGCCGCGGCUCUGGGGGUUGAAGACAGCUUCCUGACACUCCAGGUACUGGUCCAGCAGCCAACCCAGGGGGCUAAUGCCAUCCUCAUCUAGAGGGUGAGAUAAACAAAUCAAGGCACAGCCAUGUCUGCAGGGAAGUGGGAGAGGUUGGGCUGAACAGGAAUGUGGAGAUAGAGCAACUGGACGGAAUGAUACAAGGGAGGGGGCCGGGUAGGGUGGUUUAUGCCUGUAAUCCCAGCACUUUGGGAGGCUGAGAUGAGAGGAUCGCUUGAGGCAGGAGUUUGAGACUGGCCUGGUCAACAUAGCAGGACCCCACCUUUAAAAAUAAGAAAUAAACAUAAAAAAAUAGAAAAGGCCAGGCGCGGUGGUUCAUGCCUGUAAUCCCAACACUUUGGGAGGCUGAGGUGGGCGGAUCACCUGAGGUCGGGAGUUCGAGAUCAGCCUGACCAACAUGGAGAAACCCCAUCUCUACUAAAAAUAUAAAAUUAGCCAGGUGUGGGUCGGGCGCGGUGGCUCAUGCCUGUAAUCCCAGCACUUCGGGAGACUGAGGUGGGUGGAUCACCUGAGACUGGGAGUUCGAGACCAGCCUGACCAACGUAGAGAAAAUCCUUCUCUACUAAAAGUACAAAAUUAGCUGGGCAGGCUGGGCGCGGUGGCUCAAGCCUGUAAUCCCAGCACUUUGGGAGGCCGAGGCGGGCGGAUCACGAGGUCAGGAGAUCGAGAUCAUCCUGGCUAACACGGUGAAACCCCGUCUCUACUAAAAAUACAAAAAAUUAGCCGGGCGUGUUGGCGGGCGCCUGUAGUCUCAGCUACUCGGGAGGCUGAGGCAGGAGAAUGGCGUGAACCCGGGAGGCAGAGCUUGCAGUGAGCCGAGAUUGCGCCACUGCACUUCAGCCUGGGGGACAGAGCAAGACUCCGUCUCAAAAAAAAAAAAAAAAAAUUAGCUGGGCCUGGUGGCCCAUGCCUGUAAUUCCAGCUAUUUGGGAGGCUGAGGCAGGAGAAUCACUUGAACCCUGGAGGCAGAGGUUGCAGUGAGCUGAGACCACGCCAUUGCACUCCAGUCUAGGCAACAAGAGCGAAACUCUGUCUCAAAAAAAUAAAAUAAAAUAAAA
This is a long non-coding RNA of Symphalangus syndactylus (siamang), 1732 nucleotides long. RefSeq lists it as uncharacterized. NCBI's taxonomy places the organism in Eukaryota, Metazoa, Chordata, Mammalia, Primates, Hylobatidae. The record is from RefSeq and is a predicted model, not a curated record.